This 237-nucleotide long non-coding RNA is filed under the name Carica papaya (papaya). Its description in RNAcentral is "long non-coding RNA (CPAP_LNC000888)". The record is from RNAcentral. Lineage: Eukaryota; Viridiplantae; Streptophyta; Magnoliopsida; Brassicales; Caricaceae.
UUCUAAUCAAUACUCCCACUCAAGUUGGUGCAAAAAUAUCACACAUAUCCAACUUGUAAACCAAGUUAUGAAGAGAUUUGUUACAAAUUCCUAUAAUGAAGACAUUUGUCACAUGUUCACUAGAAGACACAUGAUAUAGGCGUAAGGAGCCAUCAACCACUUUCUCUUUAAUGAAUAUCGAUCAAUGUCAAUAUGAUUUGUUCGGUUGUGUUGAACUGGAUUAUGAACAAUACUAAU